RNAcentral lists this ribosomal RNA (497 nucleotides) under uncultured bacterium. Its description in RNAcentral is "partial 16S ribosomal RNA". It matches the Rfam family "Bacterial small subunit ribosomal RNA", at positions 28 to 507 of the family's 1533-position model. The record is from RNAcentral.
GACGAACGCUGGCGGCGUGCCUAAUACAUGCAAGUAGAACGCUGAAGAGAGGAGCUUGCUCUUCUUGGAUGAGUUGCGAACGGGUGAGUAACGCGUAGGUAACCUGCCUGGUAGCGGGGGAUAACUAUUGGAAACGAUAGCUAAUACCGCAUAAAAUUGAUUAUUGCAUGAUAAUUAAUUGAAAGAUGCAACUGCAUCACUACCAGAUGGACCUGCGUUGUAUUAGCUAGUUGGUGAGGUAACGGCUCACCAAGGCGACGAUACAUAGCCGACCUGAGAGGGUGAUCGGCCACACUGGGACUGAGACACGGCCCAGACUCCUACGGGAGGCAGCAGUAGGGAAUCUUCGGCAAUGGGGGGAACCCUGACCGAGCAACGCCGCGUGAGUGAAGAAGGUUUUCGGAUCGUAAAGCUCUGUUGUAAGAGAAGAACGGGUGUGAGAGUGGAAAGUUCACACUGUGACGGUAGCUUACCAGAAGGGGACGGCUAACUACGUG